This 253-nucleotide ribosomal RNA is filed under the name uncultured bacterium. RNAcentral's name for it is "partial 16S ribosomal RNA". It matches the Rfam family "Bacterial small subunit ribosomal RNA", at positions 524 to 776 of the family's 1533-position model. The record is from RNAcentral.
UACAGAGGGUGCGAGCGUUAAUCGGAAUUACUGGGCGUAAAGCGUGCGUAGGCGGCUAUAUAAGUUGGAUGUGAAAUCCCCGGGCUUAACCUGGGCACUGCAUUCAAGACUGUAUAGCUAGAGUCUGGGAGAGGGUGGUGGAAUUUCCUGUGUAGCGGUGAAAUGCGUAGAUAUAGGAAGGAACAUCAGUGGCGAAGGCGACUGCCUGGCCCAAGACUGACGCUGAGGUACGAAAGCGUGGGGAGCAAACAGG